Molecule: unclassified non-coding RNA, 300 nt
Organism: Callithrix jacchus (white-tufted-ear marmoset)
Lineage: Eukaryota; Metazoa; Chordata; Mammalia; Primates; Cebidae
Rfam family: Metazoan signal recognition particle RNA
About the family: The signal recognition particle (SRP) is a universally conserved ribonucleoprotein. It is involved in the co-translational targeting of proteins to membranes.
Source: Ensembl
GUCAGGUGUGAUGGCACGUGCCUGUAGUCCCAGCUACUCAGGAGGCUGAGGCUGGAGGAUCUCUUGAACCCAGGAGUUCUGGGCUGUAGCGCACUAUGCCAAUCGGGUGUCUGCACUAAGUUCAUCAUCAAUAUGGUGACCUCCCGGGAGCGGGGGACCACCAGGUGGCCUGAGGAGGGGUGAACCGGCCCAGGUUGGAAACGGAGCAGGUCAAAAUUCCCAUGCUGAUCAGUAGUUGGAUCGCACCUGUGAAUAGCCACUGCACUCCAGCCUGGGCAACAUAGCGAGACCCAGUCUCUU